Molecule: ribosomal RNA, 506 nt
Filed under: uncultured bacterium
Lineage: Bacteria
Description: partial 16S ribosomal RNA
Rfam family: Bacterial small subunit ribosomal RNA
Source: RNAcentral
AGUGAACGCUGGCGGUAGGCCUAACACAUGCAAGUCGAACGGCAGCACAGGAGAGCUUGCUCUCUGGGUGGCGAGUGGCGGACGGGUGAGGAAUACAUUGGAAUCUACUCUGUCGUGGGGGAUAACGUAGGGAAACUUACGCUAAUACCGCAUACGACCUACGGGUGAAAGCAGGGGACCUUCGGGCCUUGCGCGAUUGAAUGAGCCGAUGUCGGAUUAGCUAGUUGGCGGGGUAAAGGCCCACCAAGGCGACGAUCCGUAGCUGGUCUGAGAGGAUGAUCAGCCACACUGGAACUGAGACACGGUCCAGCCUCCUACGGGAGGCAGCAGUGGGGAAUAUUGGACAAUGGGCGCAAGCCUGAUCCAGCCAUACCGCGUGGGUGAAGAAGGCCUUCGGGUUGUAAAGCCCUUUUGUUGGGAAAGAAAUCCAGCUGGCUAAUACCCGGUUGGGAUGACGGUACCCAAAGAAUAAGCACCGGCUAACUUCGUGCCAGCAGCCGCCGUAA